This 484-nucleotide ribosomal RNA is filed under the name uncultured bacterium. Its description in RNAcentral is "partial 16S ribosomal RNA". It matches the Rfam family "Bacterial small subunit ribosomal RNA", at positions 30 to 507 of the family's 1533-position model. The record is from RNAcentral.
AUUGAACGCUGGCGGCAGGCCUAACACAUGCAAGUCGAGCGGAUGAAGGGAGCUUGCUCCUGGAUUCAGCGGCGGACGGGUGAGUAAUGCCUAGGAAUCUGCCUGGUAGUGGGGGAUAACGUCCGGGAACGGGCGCUAAUACCGCAUACGUCCUGAGGGAGAAAGUGGGGGAUCUUCGGACCUCACGCUAUCAGAUGAGCCUAGGUCGGAUUAGCUAGUUGGUGGGGUAAAGGCCUACCAAGGCGACGAUCCGUAACUGGUCUGAGAGGAUGAUCAGUCACACUGGAACUGAGACACGGUCCAGACUCCUACGGGAGGCAGCAGUGGGGAAUAUUGGACAAUGGGCGAAAGCCUGAUCCAGCCAUGCCGCGUGUGUGAAGAAGGUCUUCGGAUUGUAAAGCACUUUAAGUUGGGAAGAAGGGCAGUAAGUUAAUACCUUGCUGUUUUGACGUUACCAACAGAAUAAGCACCGGCUAACUUCGUG